UGGAUUUCUGUUAAUAAUUUAUAUAACAUAUUUAGAAGAAUAUUUAUAAAAUAUAAACAUAAUUCAUAUUACUAUUUUUUUUUUAAGUAUAUGAAAUUUUACUUUGAGAAAAUUAGAGUGCUUAAAGCAGGCAUAUGCCUUGCAUACUCCAGCAUGGAAAAAUAUAAAAGAUUUUUAUCUUUUUUAUUGGUUCUAAGGUAUGAAAAAAGAUUAAUAGGGACAGUUGGGGGCAUUUGUAUUUUACAGUCAGAGGUGAAA
RNAcentral lists this ribosomal RNA (258 nucleotides) under Cryptosporidium hominis. RNAcentral describes it as "partial small subunit ribosomal RNA". The stretch from base 98 to 258 matches the Rfam family "Eukaryotic small subunit ribosomal RNA", at positions 751 to 916 of the family's 1831-position model. Lineage: Eukaryota; Apicomplexa; Conoidasida; Eucoccidiorida; Cryptosporidiidae. The record is from RNAcentral.